GCACCACAAGAACGCGUGGAGCAUGUGGCUUAAUUUGACUCAACGCGGGAAAUCUUACCGGGUCCGGACACACUGAGGAUUGACAGGCAAUAUCUCAUGGUUAUUAACCCGGUUAUUACAUUUUGUUUAAUCGGUUAUUAAGCAUCGAGUGUUAAAUAUGCUAGUCCUUUCAUGAUUAUGUGAUAGGUGGUGCAUGGCCGUUCUUAGUUCGUGGAGUGAUCUGUCUGCUUAAUUGCGUUUCACUAAGGGCCCAUAAAUUCAA
Molecule: ribosomal RNA, 262 nt
Filed under: Neogloboquadrina pachyderma
Lineage: Eukaryota; Foraminifera; Rotaliida; Globorotaliidae
Description: partial 18S ribosomal RNA
Rfam family: Eukaryotic small subunit ribosomal RNA
Source: RNAcentral